Long non-coding RNA from Oncorhynchus tshawytscha (Chinook salmon), 916 nucleotides. The record is from Ensembl. NCBI's taxonomy places the organism in Eukaryota, Metazoa, Chordata, Actinopteri, Salmoniformes, Salmonidae.
GCCAGUCCUCUUCUGGCUGUGCCGGGUGGAGAUUAUAACAGAACAUGGCCAAGAUGUUCAAAUGUUCAUAAAUGACCAGCAUGGUCAAAUAAUAAUAAGGCAGAACAGUUGAAACUGGAGCAGCAGCACGGCCAGGUGGACUGGGGACAGCAAGGAGUCAUCAUGUCAGGUAGUCCUGGGGCAUGGUCCUAGGGCUUAGGUCCUCCGAGAGAGAGAAAGAGAGAAUUAGAGAACGCACACUUAGAUUCACACAGGACACCGAAUAGGACAGGAGAGGUACUCUAUUUUGAGCAUUAUCUACAACCUGUGUUAAGGUGUCCUCUUUAGCCUUGUCUACAGCCUGUGUUAAGGUGUCCUCUUUAGCCUUGUCUACAACCUGUGUUAAGGUGUCCUCUAUAGCCUUGUCUACAACCUGUGUUAAGGUGUCCUCUUUAGCCUUGUCUACAACCUGUGUUAAGGUGUCCUCUUUAGCCUUGUCUACAACCUGUGUUAAGGUGUCCUCUUCAGCCUUGUCUACAACCUGUGUUAAGGUGUCCUCUUUAGCCUUGUCUACAACCUGUGUUAAGGUGUCCUCUACAGCCUGUGUUAAGGUGUCCUCUUUAGCCUUGUCUACAACCUGUGUUAAGGUGUCCUCUUUAGCCUUGUCUACAGCCUGUGUUAAGGUGUCCUCUUCAGCCUUGUCUACAACCUGUGUUAAGGUGUCCUCUUUAGCCUUGUCUACAACCUGUGUUAAGGUGUCCUCUACAGCCUGUGUUAAGGUGUCCUCUUUAGCCUUGUCUACAACCUGUGUUAAGGUGUCCUCUUUAGCCUUGUCUACAGCCUGUGUUAAGGUGUCCUCUUUAGCCUUGUCUACAAUGCUUGCUGCCGCUACAUGGCGCUAGGUUUGGGCAUGUUCAAAAACCUUUUUUUCUGACCG